Molecule: unclassified non-coding RNA, 231 nt
Filed under: uncultured fungus
Lineage: Eukaryota; Fungi
Description: sequence contains ITS1
Source: RNAcentral
GUAUUAAUUGCGCAUUAUCGCAAAUAGUAAGACAUUCUACACAUGCAGUGGUUUUGUAUAAAAACGCAAAUGCCCCCUUUCGGAACAAACCAAAAGGAGAGCACCCACGCGGUGAUGCACAAAGGGGGUGAGAUGGAUUGUGAGAGAGCACCAGGGCGUGCACAAAGUUAGCGACAGCCCCGGCACCUCCGUUAUACGAUAAUGAUCCUUCCGCAGGUUCACCUACGGAAA